RNAcentral lists this ribosomal RNA (465 nucleotides) under Vreelandella stevensii. RNAcentral's name for it is "partial 16S ribosomal RNA". It matches the Rfam family "Bacterial small subunit ribosomal RNA", at positions 338 to 795 of the family's 1533-position model. The record is from RNAcentral. Lineage: Bacteria; Pseudomonadati; Pseudomonadota; Gammaproteobacteria; Oceanospirillales; Halomonadaceae.
CCUACGGGGGGCAGCAGUGGGGAAUAUUGGACAAUGGGGGCAACCCAGAUCCAGCCAUGCCGCGUGUGUGAAGAAGGCCCUCGGGUUGUAAAGCACUUUCAGUGAGGAAGAACGCCUGGUGGUUAAUACCCAUCAGGAAAGACAUCACUCACAGAAGAAGCACCGGCUAACUCCGUGCCAGCAGCCGCGGUAAUACGGAGGGUGCGAGCGUUAAUCGGAAUUACUGGGCGUAAAGCGCGCGUAGGUGGCUUGAUAAGCCGGUUGUGAAAGCCCCGGGCUCAACCUGGGAACGGCAUCCGGAACUGUCAAGCUAGAGUGCAGGAGAGGAAGGUAGAAUUCCCGGUGUAGCGGUGAAAUGCGUAGAGAUCGGGAGGAAUACCAGUGGCGAAGGCGGCCUUCUGGACUGACACUGACACUGAGGUGCGAAAGCGUGGGUAGCAAACAGGAUUAGAUACCCGAGUAGUC